This 24-nucleotide small nuclear RNA is filed under the name Arabidopsis thaliana (thale cress). RNAcentral describes it as "snRNA_00617". The record is from RNAcentral. Lineage: Eukaryota; Viridiplantae; Streptophyta; Magnoliopsida; Brassicales; Brassicaceae.
AUAACUCCAAAAAGUUUGAGUCUC